RNAcentral lists this ribosomal RNA (484 nucleotides) under uncultured bacterium. RNAcentral describes it as "partial 16S ribosomal RNA". It matches the Rfam family "Bacterial small subunit ribosomal RNA", at positions 30 to 507 of the family's 1533-position model. The record is from RNAcentral.
AUUGAACGCUGGCGGCAUGCUUUACACAUGCAAGUCGAACGGCAGCACGGGCUUCGGCCUGGUGGCGCGUGGCGAACGGGUGAGUAAUAUAUCGGAACGUACCCAGCAGUGGGGGAUAACGUAACGAAAGUUACGCUAAUACCGCAUACGAUCUUUGGAUGAAAGCCGGGGACCGCAAGUCCUUGUGCUCCUUGAGCGGCCGAUAUCUGAUUAGCUAGUUGGUGAGGUAAAGGCUCACCAAGGCGACGAUCAGUAGCUGGUCUGAGAGGACGACCAGCCACACUGGAACUGAGACACGGUCCAGACUCCUACGGGAGGCAGCAGUGGGGAAUUUUGGACAAUGGGCGCAAGCCUGAUCCAGCAAUGCCGCGUGAGUGAAGAAGGCCUUCGGGUUGUAAAGCUCUUUUGUCAGGGAAGAAACGGUAGAGGCUAAUAUACGCUGCUCAUGACGGUACCUGAAGAAUAAGCACCGGCUAACUACGUG